This 480-nucleotide ribosomal RNA is filed under the name uncultured bacterium. RNAcentral's name for it is "partial 16S ribosomal RNA". It matches the Rfam family "Bacterial small subunit ribosomal RNA", at positions 28 to 523 of the family's 1533-position model. The record is from RNAcentral.
GACGAACGCUGGCGGCGUGCUUAACACAUGCAUGUCGAGCGGAAAGGCCCUUUCGGGGGUACUCGAGCGGCGAACGGGUGAGUAACACGUGAGUAAUCUGCCCCUGGCUUUGGGAUAGCCACCGGAAACGGUGAUUAAUACCGGAUACGACCACUUCUCGCAUGGGAUGGUGGUGGAAAGUUUUUCGGCCAGGGAUGUGCUCGCGGCCUAUCAGCUUGAUGGUGAGGUAAUGGCUCACCAUGGCUUCGACGGGUAGCCGGCCUGAGAGGGUGACCGGUCACACUGGGACCGGGACACGGCCCAGACGCCUACGGGAGGCAGGAGUGGGGAAUAUUGGACAAUGGGCGGAAGCCUGAUCCAGCAACGCCGCGUGAGGGAUGACGGCCUUCGGGUUGUAAUCCUCUUUCAGCAGGGACGAAGCGCAAGUGACGGUACCUGCAGAAGAAGCACCGGCCAACUACGUGCCAGCCGCCGCAGUAA